GGGGAAGUAUUGCACAAUGGGGGAAACCCGUACGAUGCAGCAACGCCGCGUGAGUGAAGAAGUAUUUCGGUUAUGUAAAGCUCUAUCAGCAGGGAAGAAGAAAGACGGUACCUGACUAAGAAGCACCGGCUAAAUACGUGCCAGCAGCCGCGGUAAUACGUAUGGUGCAAGCGUUAUCCGGAUUUACUGGGUGUAAAGGGAGCGCAGGCGGCCGUGCAAGCCAGAGGUGAAAACCCGGGGCUCAACCCCGCGGAUUGCCUUUGGAACUGUAUGGCUUGAGUACUGGAGGGGCAGGCGGAAUUCCUGGUGUAGCGGUGAAAUGCGUAGAUAUCAGGAGGAAACACCGGUGGCGAAGGCGGCCUGCUGGACAGAAAACUGACGCUGAGGCUCG
Molecule: ribosomal RNA, 391 nt
Filed under: uncultured Roseburia sp.
Lineage: Bacteria; Bacillati; Bacillota; Clostridia; Lachnospirales; Lachnospiraceae
Description: bacterial SSU rRNA
Rfam family: Bacterial small subunit ribosomal RNA
Source: RNAcentral